This 397-nucleotide ribosomal RNA is filed under the name uncultured bacterium. RNAcentral describes it as "bacterial SSU rRNA". It matches the Rfam family "Bacterial small subunit ribosomal RNA", at positions 365 to 759 of the family's 1533-position model. The record is from RNAcentral.
UCGGGUCCGGGCGAAGCCGACCGCCCGCCCGCGUGUGAAGAAGGUCUCCGGACGUAAAGCACCCUAAGCCGGGAGGAAGGGCAUUAACCUAAUACGUUAGUGUUUUGACGUUACCGACAGAAUAAGCACCGGCUAACUCUGUGCCAGCAGCCGCGGUAAUACAGAGGGUGCAAGCGUUAAUCGGAAUUACUGGGCGUAAAGCGCGCGUAGGUGGUUUGUUAAGUUGGAUGUGAAAUCCCCGGGCUCAACCUGGGAACUGCAUUCAAAACUGACUGACUAGAGUAUGGUAGAGGGUGGUGGAAUUUCCUGUGUAGCGGUGGGGAGGCGGGAGAUAUAGGAAGGAACACCAGUGGCGAAGGCGACCACCUGGACUAAUACUGACACUGAGGUGCGAAAG